RNAcentral lists this ribosomal RNA (269 nucleotides) under uncultured archaeon. Its description in RNAcentral is "partial 16S ribosomal RNA". The record is from RNAcentral.
UUUCAGCCUUGCGACCGUACUCCCCAGGCGGCGAGCUUAACGGCUUCCCUGCGACACUUCGAUCGCGAACUGCGAUCGAAUCAUCUAGCUCGCAUCGUUUACGGCUGGGACUACCCGGGUAUCUAAUCCGGUUCGCUCCCCCAGCUUUCACCCCUCACCGUCGAGCGCGUUCUGGCGGACCGCCUUCGCCAUUCACCAAGUUCGUGGAUUACCGCGAACUAUCUGGUGGUCUUCCGCGGAUCAGAGGAUUUUACCCCUACACGCGGAGU